AUGAAAACACUGCUCGAGAAAUCGAUGAACAUCCCAGCCCUCAGGCCGGCACGCUGUCAACCGGGUGGCUCCCGCUCUAACCCACUCACAACCCUCAUGAAUGAUAUUGCUGAGGACACGAGAAUUUGGGUGUGCAUUGCGAAGGUGCAGGCGUUUCUGUGCUUCCAGAUCAUCAAGGACGUGAGGAGCACAGUCCUAGCAAGGCCCUUGUGCCUCUCUUUCGAUGUCCUCUGCUUAGCUUCAAGCCACUGGUCAACGAGGGUUUCACCAGGGACAAGGCCUCCGAAGGUGGCACAAAUUGAGGAGAGAACCUCAUGCCAGAUCACUCUGGAAAACAGGCAGUCGGCCAAAAGGUACUGCAUUGUCUCCAAGGUUUGGCCACGGAAUAAGCAGGCUUGUUUGUGCGGCAAGUCUUUGAGAGCGAGAUGCUGCACUGUCCAGCAGCGGUUCAUACCAGCCAGCCAGAAGAAAAUUUUCACCUUCCAUGGAGCCCAAGACUUCCAAGUUAGUUUCCAAGCAUGA
This 522-nucleotide ribosomal RNA is filed under the name Triticum aestivum (bread wheat). RNAcentral's name for it is "partial small subunit ribosomal RNA". The record is from RNAcentral. Lineage: Eukaryota; Viridiplantae; Streptophyta; Magnoliopsida; Poales; Poaceae.